RNAcentral lists this ribosomal RNA (173 nucleotides) under uncultured bacterium. RNAcentral's name for it is "partial 16S ribosomal RNA". It matches the Rfam family "Bacterial small subunit ribosomal RNA", at positions 1330 to 1500 of the family's 1533-position model. The record is from RNAcentral.
AAUUGCUAGUAAUGGCAGGUCAGCAUACUGCCGUGAAUACGUUCCCGGGCCUUGUACACACCGCCCGUCACACCAUGAGAGUUGGGGAUACCCGAAGCCUGUGAGCCAACAGUUAAAUGGGGCAGCAGUCGAAGGUAGAAUCAAUGAUUGGGGUGAAGUCGUAACAAGGUAUC